AGGAAUGGCCCUGUGGACCUCUGUGAUGGGACAUCUGGUGGAAUCUCACAGGCAGUUCUGUGGCAAAGAUGGAUGAAAGCUAAGGACUCAUGAGGAAGCUGGAUAACUGAACAAAGCCAUGUACAAGAAUGGGAAGCCAGAAAAUGGGAUGGUGGAGUUUGAAUCAGGUGGACAGUUCUAAAAGUACAAAUGAUUUCGUAUAAAGGUACCACAUGUGGGUCCCUUUAACUGAAGGCAUGGCAAGCUCCACACAAGGUCCUUCAUUUCUGAAUUUCAAGGUAAGUCAUCUUGUUUUUCUAGAUUGUAAUAUGGCUUGUAACCAGUGAUGUGAUGAUUCUGCCAAAUGAUACAAAGUGAUAUCACCUUUACAACCGUUCCAUUUUAUUUCUGAGGUUACUCUGGUAACAUGUUAGCUUGAACCAUUCUAAGCCAGAUGAGUAAGUUUUUGUUUUCUUAGGGCUCCUCUGACAAGUGGACAGUGCAGUGGGUGCACCUUUUCCAGAGGUGACUGGAUGGAUGCUUGAACAGAAGAUUUGCCAAAUAGACAUUGUGCUGUCAAGAAUUUUACCAUUAAAAGUGCAUUAUUGUAGCAUCUGAA
RNAcentral lists this long non-coding RNA (598 nucleotides) under Rattus norvegicus (Norway rat). Its description in RNAcentral is "long non-coding RNA NONRATT008379". The stretch from base 318 to 395 matches the Rfam family "Small nucleolar RNA SNORD47". Lineage: Eukaryota; Metazoa; Chordata; Mammalia; Rodentia; Muridae. The record is from RNAcentral.